UACGGAGGGCGCAAGCGUUGUUCGGAAUCACUGGGCGUAAAGCGCGUGUAGGCGGCUUGGUAAGUCGGGUGUGAAAGCCCGGGGCUCAACCCCGGAACUGCACUCGAAACUGCCUCGCUCGAGUCCCGGAGAGGGUGGUGGAAUUCCCGGUGUAGAGGUGAAAUUCGUAGAUAUCGGGAGGAACACCAGUGGCGAAGGCGGCCACCUGGACGGUGACUGACGCUGAGACGCGAAAGCGUGGGGAGCAAACAGG
Molecule: ribosomal RNA, 253 nt
Filed under: uncultured bacterium
Lineage: Bacteria
Description: partial 16S ribosomal RNA
Rfam family: Bacterial small subunit ribosomal RNA
Source: RNAcentral